UGAGUGUUGGGAGUUUUUGGUGGGGGUGUGUGCUUGGUGAGGGGAGGGAGAGGAGCGCGUUCGUAGGAGAGGAGGCAUGGGAGCGUGCGCCAAGGACGCGGCGGCGGUGUACCCUCGAACAGCUGGUCGGGUCGCAGGAGGUCUAGUGGCGGCGGGGAGAGGCCUAGCGGCGGCGGGGAGAGGCCUAGCGGCGGCAGUGGCGGGGCCUAGCGGUGGAAGCGGCAGCCUUAGCGACGGUUGCAGAGCAGCGGGGCCUAGCGGCGGCAGCGGCCCGGUACCGCCACCUCCAGCUGCCGUGGGCCUUCGCGCCCCGCCGCCGGAAGGACCUGCUGGGGAAGCUCCACGACGUCCACUUCGCCCCGGCCACGAGUGGCAGGCGGUGGUGCCGGAGCCAGCGGCUGGAGCCGUAGUUGUACCUCAAGCUGGGGCAGCUCCGCCAGGUCAGGCAGAAGGGGCCGCGGCUAGGCGUCGAAGACGCCCCGAUAGAGCUUCGCAGCCCUUUACAGAACCUACGACGGUAGUCUUCGGAGUCACUAAUAAACCGUAGCCUAAGUCGUUGCUGGUUACGACCACGGAGGAGUAGACCUCACCGUAGAGUACACUGCCACUACUUAUGAGGUCGGUUGUCCUGACUUACCUGCCUCGAUUAACAGUUCCUCUACAGCAGGCGAAGUCUAGGCUUACUGCGGUCCUUAGCUCAGAAGUCCUAUGUACUUUACAAGCUGUUUACACGGCGUUUGACGUCAUGAGUACUACUCCGCGUAUUUUACGCACUCCUGGCUUACCUAAAAACCAGAUAUAACGUUUAUACGUAUUACCUAAUAACCACUCGAGCCAUAACCACCAGAUGAGGGAAAGUAGGGACAUAAAGAUUCUUUUGGUUUGAUUAUACGUAGGUACAUAAAAAAUUAAGUUCAAGAAAGUAUACCCAAUGCAUUUUUCGUUUACAACGAAGAAAAAUAAGUCUACGAAACUCUUGGUUCAGAUGGACCAAGAGAAGGAAAGUAGGUACAUAAAAUUACACGUCACAUGUCACACAUCUUACUCGUUUGAACACUUAGAUCUCGUGUUUGAGUACUAACUAGUUCCCUCACCGUGACGGCCGACCCAAUCUCAUAUUAGUUGACAUGAACCUCAAAAAAAAAACACUAUGCACAUCGAAAGUCGAACGCUCGGAAAGUUUAUACGUUCACAGGCUACGGUAUCCGAUGAUACCUUCAACACUUACGAUACAUCAAAGGCCAUGAUGAACGUAAGUCUUUACUUGAUAAAGUCCGACUGGUAGAUUCAAAAUGUUUAAAUAAAGUCUUUACUUGAUAAAGUCCGACUGGUAAGUCUUUACUUGAUUCAAAGUCUUUACUUGAUGAACAUACAUAUCACUCUAGUUUAAAUAAACAAGAUCCCUGUAAAGACUUGUACGCAUACCUUAUUCUAGUACUUGUACAUAUACCUAAUACUUAAAUCAUAAAAAACUAUUCACUUAAAUGAAAAUAGAUAACUAUUUUUUUAUAAAAACAACAGUCUGCUUCCCGUGCUGUCUACCGCGGCCGCCCUUCCACUCGUCGACACCUCUAUUCGCUCCUUUCCUCAUCACACUCCGCCAACCGCCACAACUUCUCCUACUCUCCCGGCGUGUGAGCCACGGUACGAUGACCUCCCGGGCGACGACCUCCGUCAGGAUCCCUAAAAACCUAGUUACUGUCAUUGCAACCGCUGGGUCCAUAGAAGAAGGUAGAGAUCUAGGACUUAGAUGUCGAGAGAUUAGACGUUUAUGUGCGUCAUCGCUGCCCAUGUUAACGUACCAACACUGACGGCUGGUCAUGUGCUCACCCCGACGGCAAGAGGAUGGCCAUUAGUCGACGAGGUCACGGUGGCGUAUAUAUGAGGCUACUCAUAGGAACUAUAGAAGGGAGGUGUAACGUAGAUUACUGUGUGAAGGUGUAACGUAGACUACUGUGUGAAGGUUGACCUUAUAUAGUUAAUGUAUGGUGCCAGUAUUCACAGUGUGAAGGUUGAAUCCUGUACAGUACUACUACACGAAAAACCAAUAGGAUCCUGAAUGUUUUUGUACAGUAGACUAGACAAGGGGAAGCCAUGUAAUCUACAAUAUCCAGUAAACAACUCGCCAAUAUUACUGAAAAAGAAACCCAUUCAGAUACCAUUUUAUAUACGUCUAAAGGAGAGUUUUGAUAGAUGGUCAGUAUAACAAUUCCCUCCUAGGUUAGAUAAUGAAACUUAAAUUCGAUAGUGUAAAUAGUAUAUCAUAAAUUAUAACCAUCUUCUAAUUUAAUAACUGUACUGAAAUUAACUUUAAAAAUCCACUUUAAACUUUGAAGGGAAGUCUCUACGAUUUCAUGAUAAAUAAACUGGCCGAACCACAUGUAACUGGAAAUGGCGGACUUACAAUACUUAAUAUAAGCACCACCUACUAUACUUACAGCCCCUCCACUACCUCUUCAUACUGCUCCUUGAACACUUCCGACUCCCGUACCUCUUCUUCCCCUCUUAGAUUCACCCUCCGACUGUAACCGCUUCCUCUUCCGAUCUACUCACAACCGUAACCGUCUGUUGCCCAGUGACGUCUACCGUAAGUGACUUAAUAAUUUCCUUAACUUCGAGGGUUUUACUAGUUUAUUUAUUCUAUCGUUACUCUGUAUCUUACGACACAAUAAUUAAUAGAAACAGGAGUUUUUCCUACAGCACUAUCAUCAGCACGAAACGUAUAUUCAACGAAGUUGUUGAUAUAAGAACUUUACUACACGGUAUCCAUCCACCUUUUUGAUUCUUUAUGUUCGUAAGGAGACACACACUCUCUCUCACGAGAUGUGCGACGGAAAUACCUAAUUUGGCCACGAGAUUAAUUUACUAUUUAACUCACAUGAAAAAAAGAAACUGGCAAUAUACUGUUUUACUUACUUGUACACUCACGAUAGGUCUAAUAGGUACUUCACGGAACUGUAUACGAUAUUUCUCUAGCACACUUUUGUUUCGACUUCAACAACGGGUCCUACUCUUCCUUUCACCAGAAGGUCGUUGUGAUUUGUACCAGUACAUAAUGUGUAUGUAUACUACUACAUACAUUACGCAGGCUAGUAACAACAGAAAAUACAGUUCAAAUAAACAGAACGUAAUACUACCAGGUACAUUUUUAUUAACCUACUCAACGGUUGGGUCAUUCUUCAAACUAAAUUAAAACAACGAGGACGAACGAAACAACUACGUAAAGUACCUCUACUGAGCACAUACAUUGUAGGGCCUAUACUAAAUGGGUUAUACAUAAGGUUGAGAACGGCAAAAGCUGCAAUUCAAUAAAAUAAAAGAGC
RNAcentral lists this ribosomal RNA (3323 nucleotides) under Triticum aestivum (bread wheat). RNAcentral's name for it is "partial small subunit ribosomal RNA". The record is from RNAcentral. Lineage: Eukaryota; Viridiplantae; Streptophyta; Magnoliopsida; Poales; Poaceae.